RNAcentral lists this ribosomal RNA (301 nucleotides) under uncultured bacterium. Its description in RNAcentral is "partial 16S ribosomal RNA". It matches the Rfam family "Bacterial small subunit ribosomal RNA", at positions 509 to 807 of the family's 1533-position model. The record is from RNAcentral.
CAGCAGCCGCGGUAACACGAGGGGGGCAAGCGUUGUUCAGAAUUAUUGGGCGUAAAGGGUGCGUAGGCGGCCCCGCAAGUCUCAUGUGAAAUCUUCGGGCUCAACUUGAAGUCUGCAUGGGAAACUGCGGGGCUGGAGUAUGGGAGAGGUGAGUGGAAUUCCUGGUGUAGCGGUGAAAUGCGUAGAUAUCAGGAGGAACACCUGUGGCGAAAGCGGCUCACUGGACCAUAACUGACGCUGAGGCACGAAAGCUAGGGGAGCAAACAGGAUUAGAUACCCGCGUAGUCCCUGUCUCUUAUAC